Molecule: long non-coding RNA, 2487 nt
Filed under: Malus domestica (apple)
Lineage: Eukaryota; Viridiplantae; Streptophyta; Magnoliopsida; Rosales; Rosaceae
Description: long non-coding RNA (MDOM_LNC014366)
Source: RNAcentral
CCUUUGCCCCCGAAAUGAAGGAGAAAAAGAAAUGCAAAAAACGCAACACAAAUAAACAAACCACUCCCGACAUUUCUGCCAUUAAAAAGCACACAAGCAUAAAUUUCAAAAGAAUAUUGUUCAUUUUCCAUUUCUGCAAUAUAAAUUAAGUUUAAAAAACAAAGAAACAAGUAUUUAUAAGUGCCUUUCGAUUAUGGCACAUAAUGAAAUGAUGUCACGUUAGAACUUAGAAGUUACAAUAAACUUUGGUUUAUUAAUAAAAACAACAUUGUUUUAAAAAUUUAUGCCUAGCCCUGCCUAGGUUCUGCGUAUGCACUAGACGGCUGGUCAUUGUCCCGAUUAAUCUCUAGGUGUUUGAAAAUUACUUGGCUGGAUUUGGGCAUUUGUUGGACGGAGGUUUUGCAGCGACGCAUCAACAGCAGUUGUAAGGAAGUUAGGCUUUUUUGUUUCUAGGCUUAAACUUGUGGCUUAGGCUUUGUUUUGGGGUCCAUAUUUUCUUUUGGUCUUUUUUGUAUUUGGACCUCAACAACUGUAAAUGUUGUAAAUUUGUGUGGUUGGUAAUGUAUCUUAUCUGGUGCCCUCUUUGUAGGGUAACCUGUGACAAAAAAAAAAACAAUAAGGAAGUGGAGAUUUUGAGCAUUUGCCUCUUUCAACAAAAACUUUCAAGUUUGAUUCCAUCAAUUUGGUUGUAUUUGGUUUUUACUUUUUUUUACAUGCAGGAGUUGAAAAUAAGUUGGAAACAACUGAAGCUUGUGUUUAGCUCGUCAAAACUCGGCCUGUGAAAAAACAAGCAAAAUCUAUGUCCGGCUAUGAAAAUCUAAAAUCUUCUAAGCUUCCUACUCCGAUCAUCCAAAUCAAUGGUGCAAACUUGAUUUGGUAAUCGUUGGUCAUGCUUCAUUCACUUGAAAAUAUAUAUCCAUAUAUGAUAUGAAAUGAUAUCUACCUCCCAUUUACUGUAAUGUUUUCACAUUCAAAAAUUGACAUAUCGUUUGAUGUGAUUCAUAAAUGAGAAUCUUGAGUUAUUAAUUUUGGUGUCAAUGUCCAUCCGCUCUUUCGAAAUAGCUGCAACAAUAGGAUACCAUUACUACAAGAAUAUUUUUGUUCACUACUUUAAAGUGAUAGUGAUGUUGACCAUCUUAUUUAUUGCUUUCGAAUAAUUUAAAUUUUGAGAUCUGUGUAGUUGAGAGUUACAUAUAUCAAAAUUUAUACUCAUAAAUAUAAAAAUUUAUACUCAUCCAAUAAUAACAAGUAGUCAACAUUACUAUCAAUUAAAGACGAUGAGCAGAAAUACACUCCCAGUACUGCGAUGCAGAAAUUACCAAUACUCUUUCUGCACCGUUGAUUCAUUUUUCAUAUGAGACUGUAGGCAUUCGAGAAACUUGGACUAAUGCGGUAGGUUGGUAAAGCACAAAAAAAUGCUUAUUGCUUAAUUAAACAGAUUAAUCUUUGCUAUCAAUCACUUUAUCCUCUUCGAAUUCUAUUAUUCAACAAGUUAAAUUUAAUCUAAGAAUUAUUAUAUUCGAAAAAUUACUAAAUAAUGUCUUAGUACAUGCGUAUAGGUAUAUGCGUGUUUAUAUAUGUACAUGCAUAAUAUUGUUGUAAGAAUUAUUACAACAAAAUACUACCCUAUGAGGUAUGAGGAGGAGGAGGAUAUCCUAUUGGGAGGCUGAAUUAGGCGAAUAAUAUGGGUCAGUUACUAGUUAAGUAUCGAACUAAACACAAAAAAAUAAUACAUCAUCGUUAUCUAUGUGAGUCGAAUCGAAUUUUAGAAAUCUCACUUAUUGAUAUAGAUAAAUACUACUAAACCGUAAUACUAAUUUUUCUUAAAAUGUGUGCAAUCUUGAAUUUUGUAAUCAUCGAUAACUAACCGAUAAUGUUCAGUAAAAAGACAGAGUAUUGUUGCUCAUCAUCCUAAAUUUUGGUGUAUGAUCACCAUAAACCUAAUCAUGUAAUGCGGUCGAUUCUAACAAUUUAUACAUGCAAUUAUAAAAUUACGUGAAAAAAUAUGUAAGACGAGAAAUAUUGUUUUUGGUGGUAACGCAUAAGUGUUUCUUCAGCUGUACGGAUGUCGAAAGAGAGCCAUAGAUCUUGACUUCAAUUAUUAAUAUCACCUUUAAUCUCAUCAUCGGUUGAAAUCAAUCACCUAACUUUUACCUUUGCGCCCGAAAUGAAGGAGAAAAAGAAAUGCAAAAACGCAACACAAAUAAACAAACCACUGCCGACAUUUCUGCCAUCAAAAAGCACACAAGCAUAAAUUUCAAAAGAAUAUUGUUCAUUUUCCAUUUCUGCAAUAUAAAUUAAGAUUAAAAAAACAAAUAAACACGUAUUUAUAAGUGCCUUUCGAUUAUGGCACAUAAUGGAAUGAUGUCACGUUAGAACUUAGAAGUUAUAAUAAACUUUGGUUUAUUAAUAAAAAUAGCAUUGUUUAAAAAAUUUAUGCCUAACCCUACCUAGGUUCUGCGUAUGCACUAGAUGGCUGGUCAUCGU